UGGAGGAACCGCCUAAUUGAUCACGGUUGACCUCCACGCCAGGUAAGUAUGCUCGUUGAGAGUUAAACGAGACCUUAUAUGCUAUGCUCUAGCCACCCAAAAACGGUACAUGGCCGUAACACAACGAUAGCCCCAUCAGUCGCUCGACGAUGACGAUAAUCGGCGAUCGGUGCCGCGGCCGUUGAAGAACAUUUUGAUAAAUAUUAAAUGAUUGUAAAGAUGCUAGAGAUGUCAUUACGUGCCUAGACAAUACGGUAAGUGUCAGCCGUAAGCGCCGGCUGAUACGCAGCGCCUCCUAUGAGUCCCAAGAUGCGUUUCUGAGCUCCUCAGUCCUCACCAAUUGUGUUGACGAUAUUCACCGCCGGGCGUAACUGCACUUAAAGAUGCUGUACAACCGAUUCCUAAGUAUGAUUCAGAAGAAGAUAAAGAAAAAGAUGAAUAUUCAGUAGUAUUGUAGUCGUCUUUAAUAAAGAAACGAAGGCAUCGCUUCAUCAAGCGAUAAUAGUGUUCAUUUAAAAAACUAAAGAUACAGGUAAACCAGUGCGCAUAAUAUAUAUCACAUGAUAUAAAUGCUAAGCUCGUGAUUCAUAGAUACGUCGUCAUUUGAUUAUACUCAGGAUAACGCGGCACUCAAGGUCCUGCAGAUGAACAGAUCCGAUUAUACCAGAGGAAUUAUACGAUCCUCGACGUUUUCACGCCAUACCAACGUCAUAACACUGCUGAUGCAAUCAGUACAUCGCGAAAAAUGGGAUCGAUAGAACGACGAUGGACUGAUGGAUGAUCUCGGGUGAUAUAAUCUGAUUUUCCUAUAUAUUUUAUUGUUAUUAUACCUUUUUAUAAAUUAUUUAUAGUAAAUUUUAGGUAUCUUAUUUUUUUAAAUUACGAAUAGUUUACAGAAAUAUUCAGUGUUAUAAAAACGCUGUUUUUAAUCACGUGUAUUCAAAUUAUAAUACAUAUAAGUACUCCGCGAGUAAUUACGCAAAUUUUUCGCGAUUAAUAAUUAUUCCGAAACGAUUUUCAGUGGAAUAAUUUAGCUGAAUACCUGCUUUAUUUCUUACAG
Molecule: long non-coding RNA, 1060 nt
Organism: Rhopalosiphum maidis (corn leaf aphid)
Lineage: Eukaryota; Metazoa; Arthropoda; Insecta; Hemiptera; Aphididae
Exons: 3
Source: RefSeq, a predicted model, not a curated record